UGCAAGUCGGACGCGAAAGGGGGCAACCCCCGGUAGCGUGGCAGACGGGUGAGUAACACGUGGGUAACCUGCCCGGAGGUGGGGAAUAACCCUUCGAAAGGAGGGCUAAUACCGCAUGACAUCCCGGGGUAUUCGGACCUCGGGAUCAAAGCUGGCCUCUGCUUGCAAGCUAGCGCCACCGGAGGGGCCCGCGCCCCAUUAGCUAGUUGGUGAGGUAACGGCCCACCAAGGCGACGAUGGGUAGCCGGCCUGAGAGGGCGACCGGCCACACUGGAACUGAGACACGGUCCAGACUCCUACGGGAGGCAGCAGUGAGGAAUAUUGCGCAAUGGGCGAAAGCCUGACGCAGCGACGCCGCGUGGAGGAUGAAGGUCUUCGGAUUGUAAACUCCUGUCUAGUGGGACGAAUGCCAUGGGGGUGAACAACUCUCGUGGUUGACGGUACCGCUGGAGGAAGCCCCGGCUAACUCCGUGCCAGCAGCCGCGGUAAUACGGAGGGGGCCAGCGUUGUUCGGAAUCAUUGGGCGUAAAGGGCGCGUAGGCGGCUACUCAAGUCGGACGUGAAAUCCCCCGGCUCAACCGGGGAACUGCCUCCGAUACUGUGUGGCUCGAGUCCCGGAGAGGGUAGCGGAAUUCCCAGUGUAGCGGUGAAAUGCGUAGAUACUGGGAGGAACACCGGUGGCGAAUGCGGCUACUUGGAC
This 700-nucleotide ribosomal RNA is filed under the name uncultured bacterium. RNAcentral describes it as "bacterial SSU rRNA". It matches the Rfam family "Bacterial small subunit ribosomal RNA", at positions 56 to 734 of the family's 1533-position model. The record is from RNAcentral.